Molecule: unclassified non-coding RNA, 200 nt
Filed under: Agaricales sp.
Lineage: Eukaryota; Fungi; Basidiomycota; Agaricomycetes; Agaricales
Description: partial internal transcribed spacer 2
Source: RNAcentral
UUAAGUUCAGCGGGUAGUCUUACCUGAUUUGAGGUCAAAAUUGUCAAAAGUUGUCCAGAGGACGGUUAGAAGCAGGUCUAUAUAGUCUUCCAAAUCCACGGCGUAGAUAAUUAUCACACCAAUAGAUUAGGGGACUAACCCACUAAUACGUUUUAGAGGAGCAGACCACAUAAAUGCGGACCUGCAACCCCCACAUCCAA